RNAcentral lists this ribosomal RNA (862 nucleotides) under uncultured Gammaproteobacteria bacterium. Its description in RNAcentral is "bacterial SSU rRNA". It matches the Rfam family "Bacterial small subunit ribosomal RNA", at positions 34 to 887 of the family's 1533-position model. The record is from RNAcentral. Lineage: Bacteria; Pseudomonadati; Pseudomonadota; Gammaproteobacteria.
CGCUGGCGGUAUGCUUAACACAUGCAAGUCGAACGGAAACGAUACUAGCUUGCUAGUAGGCGUCGAGUGGCGGACGGGUGAGUAACGCGUAGGAAUCUGCCUGAUAGUGGGGGAUAGCCCGGAGAAAUUCGGAUUAAUACCGCAUAAUCUAUUCGUAGUAAAGUGGGGGACUUUCGAGCCUCACGCUAUCAGAUGAGCCUGCGUAAGAUUAGCUUGUUGGUAGGGUAAAAGCCUACCAAGGCGACGAUCUUUAGCUGGUCUGAGAGGAUGAUCAGCCACAUCGGGACUGAGACACGGCCCGAACUCCUACGGGAGGCAGCAGUGGGGAAUAUUGGACAAUGGGGGCAACCCUGAUCCAGCAAUACCGCGUGUGUGAAGAAGGCCUGAGGGUUGUAAAGCACUUUCAAUUGUGAAGAAAAGUUAACGGUUAAUAACCGUUAGCCUUGACGUUAACUUUAGAAGAAGCACCGGCUAACUCCGUGCCAGCAGCCGCGGUAAUACGGAGGGUGCAAGCGUUAAUCGGAAUUACUGGGCGUAAAGCGUGCGUAGGCGGUUUAUUAAGUCAGAUGUGAAAGCCCCGGGCUUAACCUGGGAACUGCAUUUGAAACUGGUAAACUAGAGUAUGGUAGAGGAAAGUGGAAUUUCUGGUGUAGCGGUGAAAUGCGUAGAUAUCAGAAGGAACAUCAAUGGCGAAGGCAGCUUUCUGGACCAAUACUGACGCUGAGGUACGAAAGCGUGGGUAGCAAACAGGAUUAGAUACCCUGGUAGUCCACGCCGUAAACGAUGAUAACUAGCCGUUGGGGGGAUUUACCCUUUAGUGGCGAAGCUAACGCGUUAAGUUAUCCGCCUGGGGAGUACGGCC